ACUACAGCGAAUUGGGCCAAGCCCAACCUUCCUAAUCAAACCCGGUUUCUCUCCUUUCAUUCUCAUUUCUCGACCUGAACGAAACUAAGCGCUCUCUUCUCUUCUCAUUUCUCUCCACCUCAACCACCGCCGCCAACCACCGACAUCGGCCCGUUUGACCAAAAGAAAUUGUAUGAAUUUUUGUAACAAUCCAUUUUAAACUACUGUUGUUGUUGUUGAUCUCUUGGCAAAUUUCCAUGGUAUCAUUGAUUCGAUUCGAUUCAUACUUCGAAUUGGGCCAAGCCCAACCUUCCUAAUCAAACCCGGUUUCUCUCCUUUCAUUCUCAUUUCUCGACCUGAACGAAACUAAGCGCUCUCUUCUCUUCUCAUUUCUCUCCACCUCAACCACCGCCGCCAACCACCGACAUCGGCCCGUUUGACCAAAAGAAAUUGUAUGAAUUUUUGUAACAAUCCAUUUUAAACUACUGUUGUUGUUGUUGAUCUCUUGGCAAAUUUCCAUGGUAUCAUUGAUUCGAUUCGAUUCAUACUUGCAGCAAAGGUUCCCAUGAGAGAUAUGUUCGAUGAUAAAUUGCUUUCAAAAGUACAAUCUCAACUGGAGAAGAUGGUGGCCAACACGUAUCACUAAAGAAGCUUAUGGGUCAUAUAUAUUGGCAUAUAAUGCACAUUCUGUGAAGGGAAUAUUCAAUGCUCACUGCCUUCAUUUAAAUUUUUAAUAGGUUCGGUUAUUCAAUAGGUCUUGUAUAAGUGUGAAUGGACUUGACGAUAAUUCGAUUACUCCAUCGGAAAAUUUACCAAUUCCACACUCUACCAGAGUCAAGAAGUUGGCGGUAAGUUAUGGAAACCCCAAUGUGGUAUGGAGUGGCAGUGAAGAUGGAACCUUAAGACACCAUGAUUUCUGGGAAGAUACGUCUUGUUCUUCUCAUCUUCUGCAGGAUCAUCACACCAAGAGUCUCACAAUGUUCUGGUGAUUGUGGAGAAAGCUUGAAGAAAUGACAUUGCUAAGAAGUAGUCCAUUGGGUGAUACAAAAUCACGGGUAGGUUCUGAUAUAUGCAGCUAUAAAGGAUUCUACUGAAAAAAUCCAUCAGCAAUGGAGCUGAUUUUGAUUUUGUGGAGCUAAAGAAGCAAUAGUUCUAAAAGGAGUUAUGAGUAGGCAUGAUGAAACAAAAACAUGAAGAUCACCAAUCCGCGUUGUGUGUGUGGCAGGAGGAUAUGGUCUCAGCCAGCUCAUUGUGUUUGUUCUAAAUUGUCUCCAAAUCCAACCAAAAGCAGCAGAAAUGCUGGCGAAGGGCAAUCCAGCUGCAUAAGUAAAUCUGCAACCAUGGAUUAGACACAAAAAUAUAUGCAGCAAUAGAAAUUAUUAAACAAAAGCAUUUGAGAAAAUGGCACAAAAUGCAAGAAUGGCUGCGGAAGCUUAUCGCACUGCAAAUCCACAUUUUAUAUCAAAAGUCACUAGGGGAAAUAAUGCGUUUAUUGAUUCUACUUUUGCUUCACGCCAUCUGAAUGAAAAUGUUUCUAUACUGCUCCGAAAUUCUGAUGGACAAGAGUGGGAAGAUUCUGCGGAAAUGUUUCGUAAGGAUUCACAUCAAAUGAAAUUCAAAAAAUUUCAUAUAUUCAAAAAUGAUAACUAUCUGUGUCAAGAAGAUUACUGUGCAUUUGAACUGAUCCAGAUAAAUCCAGUGGUUCUAAAUGUCAUAAUGUUUCGUGUGAAUGACUAUGAAAAUUAACAAAUUAUAAAUUUUUGAAUCGUACGAACGAGAUAUGAACUUUUAUGAGUUGGGUUGAAUCUAUUAUUGUACCUUCAAUUUCGAACAUGUGAAGUUGUCUCAUAUUAGUUCAUGUAAUAAUUAUUUUACUAUUAGAUUAACUAGUAUUUGGAUUCAUGCGAUGCAUGAGAAAUUAAUUAUCUUAAUGACUAAUAUUUAUAAUCUA
RNA transcript from Medicago truncatula (barrel medic), 1930 nucleotides. RefSeq lists it as uncharacterized. The record is from RefSeq and is a predicted model, not a curated record. The transcript has 15 exons. Lineage: Eukaryota; Viridiplantae; Streptophyta; Magnoliopsida; Fabales; Fabaceae.